Long non-coding RNA from Talpa occidentalis (Iberian mole), 577 nucleotides. RefSeq lists it as uncharacterized. NCBI's taxonomy places the organism in Eukaryota, Metazoa, Chordata, Mammalia, Eulipotyphla, Talpidae. The record is from RefSeq and is a predicted model, not a curated record. The transcript has 3 exons.
CUUCCAGAACAUUUGAACUUGAAGACCUUCCCCACAACUGUUCCAUAAUAACUCUGGGGACAAAGGCAGGAAAUCUGGCAAAACAUAAGAAUGUCAGCAGCAUUGGUAGGGAACUUCUAGAACACAUACAUCUGGAAAUCUGGAUGAAGUCCUUUGGGUCCCAAAUUACAAACGACUAAUCCAGUGCCACAGCAACCCUUGUACAUCCCAUAACUCUUUGGAGCUACUUCCUAGAGCCACCCUGAAGUCUACCCUUUCAUUGCAACCAUCGGAGCAAAACCAAAGGUCGUUUGACAUCCUAGGAACCUUAGUAGAGGUUUGUUGGAGAAACACUGGAUAUCAAAUCUCCAUGUGGGCAGGAGCAUUGAAAGUUUUGAAAGGGCUCUAUGUAUGUCCUGAUCUGAGAAAAGCCUGGUCCUCAGUAUUUUUUAAAUGGAUAAAGGUGCUUGGAAUAAAUUGUUUGCAGACAAAUCCUCUGCUCCCUGGAACUUACAUUUCAAUGAAGAAGAACCAACAAUCAAGAAAAUACAUAAUUUCAGAAAAUUGAGGGGCUCUGCAGAAAACAAAACAAGAUAAA